This 92-nucleotide transfer RNA is filed under the name Streptomyces scabiei. RNAcentral describes it as "tRNA-Ala". Lineage: Bacteria; Bacillati; Actinomycetota; Actinomycetes; Kitasatosporales; Streptomycetaceae. The record is from RNAcentral.
GCCGGCCGUGGGUGGGUUCGUCGACCUUGGCGAAGGCGUCGUCCAGGAGAAUCAGGCGUGGUGCAUGCGGUGCCGACUCGGCGAGGCUGGUG